RNAcentral lists this ribosomal RNA (253 nucleotides) under uncultured bacterium. RNAcentral's name for it is "partial 16S ribosomal RNA". It matches the Rfam family "Bacterial small subunit ribosomal RNA", at positions 524 to 776 of the family's 1533-position model. The record is from RNAcentral.
UACAGAGGUCUCAAGCGUUGUUCGGAUUCAUUGGGCGUAAAGCGCGUGUAGGCGGCUUAGCAAGUCGGGCGUGAAAGCCCUCGGCUCAACCGAGGAAGUGCACCCGAAACUGCUGAGCUUGAGUGCCGGAGAGGAUGGCGGAAUACCCCAAGUAGAGGUGAAAUUCGUAGAUAUGGGGUGGAACACCGGUGGCGAAGGCGGCCAUCUGGACGGUAACUGACGCUGAGACGCGAAAGCGUGGGUAGCAAACAGG